GAGUAAUGCUUGGGAAUUUGCCUUGAGGUGGGGGACAACAGUUGGAAACGACUGCUAAUACCGCAUGAUAGCUACGGCUCAAAGGGGGCUUCGGCUCUCGCCUUUAGAGAAGCCCAAGUGGGAUUAGAUAGUUGGUGGGGUAAUGGCCUACCAAGUCAACGAUCCCUAGCUGGUCUGAGAGGAUGAUCAGCCACACUGGAACUGAGACACGGUCCAGACUCCUACGGGAGGCAGCAGUGGGGAAUAUUGCACAAUGGGCGCAAGCCUGAUGCAGCCAUGCCGCGUGUGUGAAGAAGGCCUUCGGGUUGUAAAGCACUUUCAGCGAGGAGGAAGGGUUGUUGGUUAAUACCCAGCAGCUUUGACGUUACUCGCAGAAGAAGCACCGGCUAACUCCGUGCCAGCAGCCGCGGUAAUACGGAGGGUGCGAGCGUUAAUCGGAAUUACUGGGCGUAAAGCGUACGCAGGCGGCUUGUUAAGCCAGAUGUGAAAGCCCCGGGCUCAACCUGGGAACUGCAUUUUGGAACUGGCAGGCUAGAGUGCGA
This 542-nucleotide ribosomal RNA is filed under the name uncultured Gammaproteobacteria bacterium. RNAcentral describes it as "bacterial SSU rRNA". It matches the Rfam family "Bacterial small subunit ribosomal RNA", at positions 108 to 651 of the family's 1533-position model. Lineage: Bacteria; Pseudomonadati; Pseudomonadota; Gammaproteobacteria. The record is from RNAcentral.